AAAGUGCAAUGUUUAUUCCUUCAUCAAGAAUUAAUGAUUUAAAACCAGGAUCAUUCUCAUAAGAAAAAUCCAAUUAUGCAUUCUACAGACUUCUAGAAAAAGAGCAGCACUUCUAAAAUAAAGAUAUUACCAUUAUGGCGGUCAUCAUCCUAACAACCUGACAUGUGAUAUUUCUUUUAGUGUGCCAUAUAGAUAAGACAAUAAAUCCUCUAAAAUAACACCAACCUAAUGUCUAGCAUCAUUUCGCACCUAUCCACAUAAACAAAAGCACGAAAGGUAAAU
RNAcentral lists this unclassified non-coding RNA (282 nucleotides) under Hevea brasiliensis (rubber tree). The record is from RNAcentral. Lineage: Eukaryota; Viridiplantae; Streptophyta; Magnoliopsida; Malpighiales; Euphorbiaceae.